Scleropages formosus (Asian bonytongue) is the source of this 654-nucleotide long non-coding RNA. RefSeq lists it as uncharacterized. The transcript is spliced from 5 exons. NCBI's taxonomy places the organism in Eukaryota, Metazoa, Chordata, Actinopteri, Osteoglossiformes, Osteoglossidae. The record is from RefSeq and is a predicted model, not a curated record.
CGCCCCUCUAUCGCUCUCUUUACCAUGGUGGCUCACAAGGCUGAGGACCCUGCUGGUGGUGGUAAAGUGCCGCAGUUCGUGGCGAAGACGCCUGCCGCUGCCGUGGUUCGUCCUCCGGGUUGAGGGACGAAUCCGAGGAACCGAGGACGGAGGACCCCAAUGGUACCGGCCCUCGGCGAUGCGCAGCCUGGAACUUUCUUACCGUGCUCCCGUGUCGGAAAACUGACUGCUGUCAGUGUCUCUCUGCCCUCAAGAUGACAGCGGCGCUCCCUAGUGUCAGAAUCAGAACGAGCUUUAUUGCCAAGAUUUUCCCGAAUCUAGUCGGAGUCGUGUCUGCAGAAAUGGACAUGCUUCUCCACCUCUGCCUGCAUUCUGUAAUCAGGACCUGAGAUGCCUUUGGGUAAACUGGUAGUGUCACCAGACCCAGAAGUACCACUUUGACCAUCCGCAUGGAGCCUUUUUUCCAAUUGGAGUGUGAAGAGGUGCGGCCGACAUGCGUCCUGGCUCACUUGGCUGUCGACGAGGGACACUUGCAGUAGCUAGGCCCCAUGAAAAUAGACUGCUGCUGCUUUCGUUAACUUAGACUUUUUAAAGAAUUUUUCUCGUACUGUUGGAUGCCUUUGAAUGUGAAAUAAAAAACGAAAUUUGAGUUUU